AUUGAACGCUGGCGGCAUGCUUUACACAUGCAAGUCGGACGGCAGCACAGAGAAGCUUGCUUCUUGGGUGGCGAGUGGCGAACGGGUGAGUAACAUAUCGGAACGUACCGAGCAGUGGGGGAUAACUAAUCGAAAGAUUAGCUAAUACCGCAUAUAUUCUGAGGAAGAAAGCAGGGGACCAUUUGGCCUUGCGCUGUUUGAGCGGCCGAUAUCUGAUUAGCUAGUUGGUGGGGUAAAGGCCUACCAAGGCGACGAUCAGUAGCGGGUCUGAGAGGAUGAUCCGCCACACUGGGACUGAGACACGGCCCAGACUCCUACGGGAGGCAGCAGUGGGGAAUUUUGGACAAUGGGCGCAAGCCUGAUCCAGCCAUGCCGCGUGUCUGAAGAAGGCCUUCGGGUUGUAAAGGACUUUUGUCAGGGAAGAAAAGGGCGGGGUUAAUACCCCUAUCUGAUGACGGACCUGAAGAAAAGC
This 472-nucleotide ribosomal RNA is filed under the name Neisseria mucosa. RNAcentral's name for it is "bacterial SSU rRNA". It matches the Rfam family "Bacterial small subunit ribosomal RNA", at positions 30 to 491 of the family's 1533-position model. The record is from RNAcentral. Lineage: Bacteria; Pseudomonadati; Pseudomonadota; Betaproteobacteria; Neisseriales; Neisseriaceae.